UAAGAACAAUGGGCUGAAGUUGCCAAUUUAGUUUUGAUGUCAGAAAAAUCCUCUUAACAACUGAAGUGGUCCAAAAGUAGAAUAAGCUGUCUCAAAGGUUGAGUACCCUCUUCAUGAAGUCUUCAAGCAAAGUCUAAAUAUAACAAGGAAUUGACUAAGAACAACUAGUCCUAGAAUAUGCACAGGGGAUCCAUCCCUGGAGAUAUCUGGCGGGCCUGCUUCUGGAAGUGCUGAUGCUAUGGAAUGGAGGGCCUGGCUCUCUGCGUCAGAAGUGUUAAGAUAUCAUAAUUCUAAUCAGGGAGAAUAAACUACCUAUCUAUUGCGGUGAGAAGAGUUUGCAAUGGAUAAAAGGAAAUAAACAAUAUUUUUGAAGCCAAGUUAACUUCAAGUCCUAUACUUAAAUUCUGGAGCUAUGCCACAGUACCUGGGAA
RNAcentral lists this long non-coding RNA (431 nucleotides) under Sarcophilus harrisii (Tasmanian devil). RNAcentral's name for it is "lncRNA (ENSSHAG00000029843.1)". Lineage: Eukaryota; Metazoa; Chordata; Mammalia; Dasyuromorphia; Dasyuridae. The record is from RNAcentral.